GCAUGAUGUGGAUGAUUCUUAAAUUUAUCGUUGCUUUCUUAGUUUAUCAAACCCAUACAUUUAAGGAUUAAUCCCUUGCACCUAUAACCACUACUGAUUCCUCAAGUUAUAUGGGAAGAUGUUGCUUUGGAUUUUAUUACUAGUUUACUAAGAUCCAACAGGGUUGAUUAUGUUUUGGUGGUUAUUGAUUGCCUUUCAAAAUAUGGCUAUUUCCUUCCUUUAUGCCACCCUUUUAUUGCCAAGUCAGUAGCCGAGAUAUUUUUCCUUGAGAAAUUUCACCUCUAUGGAAUUUAAUGGACCAUGGUCAGUGAUUGGAACCCUCUCUUCUUGAGUAGUUUUUUUGUUAGAGCUAUUUCGACUCCAAGGCACUCAUUUGAAAUUUAGUUCUACCUACCACUCUAGACGGCUGAGCAAAUGGAGCUUUGAAUCAUACCAUUUAAACAUAUCUCUAUUGUUUUUCAUCUGAGCAACCUAAAUAACAGUCUAAGUGGUUGUGUUAGGCCAAAUAUUGGUACAACACAUCUUUCAAAGGGGUUACCAAACAUACUCCAUUUGAGAUAGUAUAUAGUUGCCCACCUCUUACUCUCUAUUACUUCCUGCUUAGAGAAACUCGGGUUGAAUCAGUGACGCAACACUUGUUGGACUGUGAUGAGAUGCUCAAACAGUUGCAAUUUAAUCUCCAAUGUGUCCAAUAGCAAAUUAAGAUAUAUGUUGAUAAGAACCAUCAGAAUGCCUAAUUUAUAGUUGGUGAUAAGGUGUUCCUCAAACUUCAUCCCCACCACCAGCAAUCAAUGGCUCACUGUUUUAAUUAGAAAUUGGUAGCAAGGUAUUUUGGUCCCUUUGAAGUUUUGGGUAGAGUGGGUGCUAUUACGUACAAGCUAAACUUGCCCUUUGCUUUUAAAGUUCACCCCGUUUUUAGUGUUUCUCAAUUGAAAUAGGUUAUUAGCAAUCAUAUAGUGCCCACGAACUCCCUCAAGGCUUAGUCAUUAACGAAAUUCCCUUACGUAAACCUAAGGUUAUUUGUCAAUGCUAAAGUAUUAAGAAAAAUGGCAUGAAUGUGCAAUAAUUUCUAGUCAAAUGGAUGGGUCAUUCUGAUGAUGAGACUACUUGGAUUGAUGAAUCUAACUUUGUUGACCAAUUUCCAAAUUUUAGCCAUGGGGACAAGGCUGGUUCUAUUGAGGGUGGAAAUGAUAGGCAUGCAGCAACUGAUCCAAGCCAAAGGACUUUUCAACUAUAUUCCCAAAGGGCCAGCAAAGGCAAUAAUAGAAUGGGAUUUUAAAGAUGCCAAUAGUAUGUGAAUAGUGCUAGCAACUAUAGGGCCU
RNAcentral lists this unclassified non-coding RNA (1322 nucleotides) under Hevea brasiliensis (rubber tree). The record is from RNAcentral. Lineage: Eukaryota; Viridiplantae; Streptophyta; Magnoliopsida; Malpighiales; Euphorbiaceae.